GACAAACACAGCUACUUUUGCCCAAGUCUCCCCCUCCGCGUCAACAACCUCUUUCCGAUACACAACUAUAUCAGCAGCCAGAAGCACAACAGCCAUUGCCUUGGCAUCAAUCUCAGCCGCAACAGCCAUUGGCUCGUGCUGAACCUGAACUGCAAGAGGCUUUACAUCAACCUACGCCACCACAAAAGCCUUGGCAUCAAUCUCAGCCGCAACAGCCAUUGGCUCGUGCUGAACCUGAACUGCAAGAGGCUUUACAUCAACCUACGCCACCACAAAAGCCUUGGCAUCAAUCUCAGCCGCAACAGCCAUUGGCUCGUGCUGAACCUGAACUACAAGAGGCUUUACAUCAACCUACACCACCACAAAAGCCUUGGCAUCAAUCUCAGCCGCAACAGCCAUUGGCUCGUGCUGAACCUGAACUACAAAAGGCUUUACAUCAACCUACACCACCACAAAAGCCUUGGCAUCAAUCUCAGCCGCAACAGCCAUUGGCUCGUGCUGAACCUGAACUACAAAAGGCUUUACAUCAACCUAUGCCACCACAAAAGCCUUUGCAUCAACCUACACCACCACCAAAGCCUUUGCAUCAACCUACUCCACCACCAAAGCCUUUCCUUCAGGUUACACCCCCACAGCAGAACACUUUGCGUCAGCCUACGCCUCCACCAGAAAUCCCAUUACGCCAGCCCACACCUCCACCACAAAAUCCAUUACGACAGCCU
Molecule: long non-coding RNA, 722 nt
Filed under: Daucus carota (carrot)
Lineage: Eukaryota; Viridiplantae; Streptophyta; Magnoliopsida; Apiales; Apiaceae
Description: long non-coding RNA (DCAR_LNC006155)
Source: RNAcentral